This 398-nucleotide unclassified non-coding RNA is filed under the name Melitaea cinxia (Glanville fritillary). RNAcentral describes it as "misc RNA ENSMCXG00005000993.1". Lineage: Eukaryota; Metazoa; Arthropoda; Insecta; Lepidoptera; Nymphalidae. The record is from RNAcentral.
CUCUGGAAUCCUGUGUCGGAAAACUACAAGAACAAGAAAGUACGCGAGCAGGGAUACGUCGAGAUAAUAAAAACGCUGAAUCUAGUGGAUAUAACGGUUAAGGAACUGAAAAAUAAGAUAAAGAAUAUACGAUCGUCGUACAGCGUCGAGUUAAAGAAAAUUCGCGCGGCUAGAAAAGCGGGCGCGCAUGCGUACCGGCCGAGCGUCACGUGGUUCGAGCACGCAGACAGGUUUCUGCGGGCGAUCGUCACUCCGAGCUCCGUGGACAACAGCCUACUCGAAAUACCGAUGAGCGACGACAGCGACGCCGUUCAGGAUCUGAGCGAACGAAAAUCACCCGAAAAGAAAUGUCCUCGAAAACGUCGUAGUUCAACUAGAUCGUCGACUCCGUACGUUUU